GCAAACUUGGUCAUUUAGAGGAAGUAAAAGUCGUAACAAGGUCUCCGUAGGUGAACCUGCGGAGGGAUCAUUAAAAAGAAUGUACGAUCCAGAAAUGGAUCCUACCUUCCCAACCCUUUGUCAAUCAUAAUCGUUGCUUCGGUGGACAUCCUUGGACGGACCAUCUUCUUGGUUCGAUGGGGAGCCACCGGAGAAUCACCAAUACACUCGUCAUACUUGAAGUCUUAUAUCAGAUUCUAAAUCUAAACAAAACUUUCAACAACGGAUCUCUUGGUUCUGGCAUCGAUGAAGAACGCAGC
This 299-nucleotide unclassified non-coding RNA is filed under the name uncultured fungus. RNAcentral describes it as "partial contains small subunit ribosomal RNA, internal transcribed spacer 1, and 5.8S ribosomal RNA". The stretch from base 1 to 73 matches the Rfam family "Eukaryotic small subunit ribosomal RNA", at positions 1759 to 1831 of the family's 1831-position model. The record is from RNAcentral. Lineage: Eukaryota; Fungi.